Molecule: long non-coding RNA, 1450 nt
Filed under: Vitis vinifera (wine grape)
Lineage: Eukaryota; Viridiplantae; Streptophyta; Magnoliopsida; Vitales; Vitaceae
Description: long non-coding RNA (VVIN_LNC002526)
Source: RNAcentral
UUAGAUGAGGUUGGUUAUGAUGAUGUUGGUGGAGUCCGAAAACAGAUGGCUCAGAUCCGGGAGCUGGUGGAGCUGCCGCUUCGUCAUCCCCAGUUAUUUAAAUCAAUUGGCGUGAAGCCACCAAAAGGGAUUCUGCUAUAUGGACCUCCUGGAUCUGGAAAAACUUUAAUAGCCCGAGCUGUUGCUAAUGAAACCGGUGCUUUCUUCUUCUGUAUUAAUGGACCGGAGAUCAUGUCAAAAUUGGCUGGGGAGAGUGAAAGCAAUCUCAGGAAAGCAUUUGAGGAAGCGGAGAAAAAUGCCCCAUCCAUUAUCUUUAUUGAUGAGAUUGAUUCAAUUGCUCCAAAGCGAGAGAAGACACAUGGAGAAGUUGAGAGGCGUAUUGUUUCUCAGCUCUUGACACUUAUGGAUGGACUUAAAUCCCGUGCACAUGUUAUUGUUAUUGGUGCGACCAAUCGUCCCAACAGCAUAGAUCCAGCUUUGAGAAGGUUUGGGAGAUUUGAUAGGGAAAUAGAUAUUGGUGUUCCAGACGAAGUUGGGCGUCUUGAGGUUCUUCGCAUCCAUACGAAGAACAUGAAGCUCUCCGAAGAUGUAAGAUCAACAUACUUAGCUCCUUACUAAAGUCCACAUCCCUUUUUAUUUCUUUUUAAAUGAAAUCUGAACGAGGUCUGGUUUUCUUUCAUACAGGUUGAUUUAGAAAGAAUUGCCAAGGACACUCAUGGGUAUGUGGGUGCUGACCUUGCUGCUCUAUGUACCGAGGCUGCACUUCAGUGCAUCAGAGAGAAGAUGGAUGUGAUUGACUUGGAAGACGAAAGUAUAGAUGCAGAGAUACUUAACUCCAUGGCCGUUACUGAUGAGCACUUUAAGACUGCUCUUGGGACAAGCAAUCCAUCUGCUCUCCGUGAAACAGUGAGUCUUUUGAAAUAUAUCAUAUGUGCCCUAGAGUUUCUUUGCUGAUUAUUGGUUGGGCCUUAUUUACCAUUUUUCCACUUUUUAUGAACCAGGUUGUUGAAGUGCCUAAUGUUAGCUGGGAAGAUAUUGGUGGCCUUGAGAAUGUUAAGAGGGAACUUCAGGAGGUAAGUGCAAUUGCCAAAUUGUCAUUCUUUCUCUAAAUUUAUUUUUUUUAAUCUUUUUAUGUGGUACGUAAUUUUUUUCAUACUUUUUUUUCUCAUGUAGACUGUUCAAUAUCCUGUGGAGCAUCCUGAGAAAUUUGAGAAGUUUGGCAUGUCUCCUUCCAAGGGAGUUCUUUUCUAUGGUCCACCUGGAUGUGGUAAAACUCUGCUUGCUAAGGCCAUCGCCAAUGAAUGUCAGGCAAACUUCAUCAGUGUCAAGGGUCCAGAAUUGCUUACAAUGUGGUUUGGAGAAAGCGAGGCCAAUGUGCGAGAAAUUUUUGACAAGGCUCGCCAAUCUGCCCCUUGUGUCCUAUUCUUUGAUGAACUCGAUUCCAUUGCUA